UUGAUACAGCUUGCUAAUAUAUUUGCUAAAUUUGAUACAGUUGAAUAAGUUACCAUCAUUAUUAUAUUUUUCAAAAUUGUGUUACAAAAUAUCAUAUACGAUAUCUAUAUUAUAGUUUAUCUAUGAUUUUAACUGAUUGUAUUACCAAAGAGGAAAUUUCCUUGCUGGUAUUAUUAUAGUCAAUGAGCGUUUAAGGCAUUCUCAGUUGGUGUAGCAGUUUUAUAUUCUAAAAGAUAUAUUCUACUUUUCCAUCUAUGAAAAUAUAUUUUUCAUUUAUGUCAUCUAUCAAAUGAAUAGUAAUAAUUAAUCAUACAGUAAUCUUUUUACUUAGAUAUCCAUCAAAGUAAUCAAAAUUAAUCAUCGUUGGAGCACCAAUACCUGUUAAAUAUUAAUGUUUAUCAUAUCAGGUAAAUUCAAUUUUGAAUGACAGUUGAUGUCAUUAAAUAGCAACGCAUAUUGUCACUUGUUACAUCUUUGCUGACAAAAGCAAAGUUGUUCUAUUGUUUGAACCUAUCGUUUAUUUUUAAAAUCUCAUCAAAACGGGGGCUGAACAGUCAAUUAUGUCCGUCUCCCAGAUGGAAAGAAAUUUAUUCAAUCUCAAAUUUGCUGUGAAGGAAUUAGAGAGAAAUUCCAAGAAAUGCGAAAAAGAAGAAAAGGUGGAAAAGGCAAAAAUAAAAAAAGCCAUUCAAAAAGGUAAUAUGGAGGGUGCACGAAUUCAUGCAGAAAAUGCAAUUCGCCAACGUAAUCAGGCACUUAAUUAUUUACGGAUGAGUGCAAGAGUUGAUGCAGUAGCUAGCAGAGUACAAACUGCUUUGACUACACGCAAAGUUACUCAGUCAAUGGCUGGAGUAGUUAAAGCCAUGGAUGCAGCAAUGAAAUCAAUGAAUUUAGAAAAAAUUUCAGGUCUUAUGGAUAAGUUUGAAAGUCAGUUUGAAGAUUUGGAUGUACAAAGUUCAUACAUGGAGAAUGCUAUGUCUCAAACUACAACAACAAAUGUUCCACAGAAUGAUGUUGAUUCUUUAUUACAACAAGUUGCAGACGAAGCUGGUUUGGAGUUGAACAUGGAAUUGCCAUCUGGACAGUUAGGUAGUAUAGGUACCUCUACUAUCAGUCAAGAACAAGAUGAACUUACACAACGGUUAGCAAGACUUCGUGAAUAGUAAUACAGAUGUAAAAUCUAGUUACAGCACAGGUACAUAAUGAGAAAGAUAUAUCUUUAUCUGUUAUAAUUUGCAUUAACUUAUUAACCUUUUGACUGCCAUAUAAGAGUUUAAUGGAAAUGACCACCGUAUACUAUCCUUCUCUAUAAUUGCUUGCCAUAUACAGUGACUGGUUUAUUUUGUAACAGUCAGUGUACAAAGGGUUAAAAGAAAACGUAUAAAAACAUUUUCUUUAUGUAAACUUCAUAAUCUUAAACCUUUUUCGUAAUUUUAUUCAUUUAUUUCGAGUAAAAUUAUGUAGUAAUAAUAUAAAAAGCUAAAAUGUCCCACCUGAGGUUUAUGAUUAGGUUUCUCAGUUAUUUGUAUAAGACAAACAUAUAUUGUUCAGUAAAUGUACAUAUUUAUUUAAAAUCGCAGAAUUCCAUUAAACCAAUUGGAAAAUAUUAUAAUAAUUAAAUAAUUGAGAAAUAUUAUAGCUUAAAAUGAUUUCAAAAUUAUAGCAGUGUAUAAAUAAAUUUAUAGCCAAUGGGAUUAUACAGAGUGUUCCAUUUGAAGUUAUGCACGCAAUUAUUUCCCAAACCAUAGUUCGUUUUAAAAAAUGUUUCAAAUGGAACUUACCUUGUCGUGGGAAGAAGGGGGGCACAUCUUAUGAUGAUCUCAAACCUUCUCUAAGCGGACGUGCUUCCGUGAUUUCAAGGUGAUCUUUGUCUUUUUUUCUUUUUUUUUCUUUUUUCUCUUUUUUUUUUCUUUUUUUUUUUACGGAACUAUAUGUUUCUAUUUAGGUAGGCAUAUAACCCGUUCCGAGAUGAAUUUAUCGAAUUAUAAUAUAUUGGUGUUUGAAGGUCAUUUAUUACCGUUCAAAACAUACCGUUAUUGAACGUCCAGCAAUUGUUUCUUAUGCAUUCCAAAGGAUGACUUUUGUAGUCAGUACAAUUAUUUACUCUAUUCCUGUAUGAUAGCUGCACUCUCUCGAAAGUGAUAGAACUAAUACUUUCAAAUUUCUCACGUUCUUCCAAAAUUAGAGGCAUAUCGACAAUCUUAUUGCGAAAUUAUUGCGAAUUUAUUAUUGCGUACAACGAACCAUUGUAAAUUAAAUCGUUACCGGAAGAAAGUACACGUAAUACUAUUUGCAAUAAUAUUGAUUCCUUUGAAGCAACUGUCAUACAAACUGAGGAAUAUCUGCCUAGUAGCAAAUUAUAGUUGAUAAUAAACAAAAGCAAAUACGAAUAACGAUAAAUCGCAUCAUUUGUGUAAUUUCGAUUCGUGUUUACAUCAGAAUUGACGCAAUACUUCAGUAAAUCAAAUCCUGAGAACGUUCAAAGAAAGUAAGCCUUUGAAAGGCAAUGAAUGACCUUCGAGUACCAACAUAUUAUGAGUCAACAUAUGAAUUCGUCACGAAAUGAGCUACACACCUCCUUAAAUAAAAAAAUACAGUUCCGUAUAAAAAAACAAAGAUCUCUAUAAAAUCUCGGAAACACGUCCACCUAGAGAAGAUUUAUGACCACCAAAAGAUGUCCCUUCCGAAAUAAGGUAAGUUUUAUUUGAAACAUUUUUUUGAAACGAGCUACAGUAUGGAAAAUAAUUGCAAACUCCAAAUGGAACACCUUAUAUAUCUUUCUUAUCUCUGUAACAAGUACCUAUAAAUAAUGAACACGUUAAAAUGUUCAACACAAAUUGCUUGAAUAAAAAGAGUUUACUUGCUAUAUAUUCAUGAAUAAAAUAAGCUUUUAAUAUAAUCAAAACUCAUUUGUUAUAUUAUAAGAUUAGAUUUCUGUAGAAUAAAAAGAAAGCACUAUUAAUUGUUAUUAAUAAUUAUUAAUAAUUAUUGGUAAUAAUUAUUAAUAUCAUUAAUUUUGCACAAUAUUGUAAACAUAGCAGGUACUACUCUCUAUGAUAUGAGAAAGAGUAUACUUUUAUAUAAAGACAAUUUAUCAAAGAAAAGCUUUAUUACUGCAAUGGUAUUUAUGUUGUAAACAUACUGUAUGACAGAAUAAUUCAAGUAGAUUGAUUGUACUUUAAAAACAAUUUGUAGCAAUAAAUGCUUGUAUUAUACGUAUAUCAUAUAUUAAAUACAUAAUAUGAUGCACAGUUUAUUAUAUAUUUGUUUGAUAAAAAUAAAUUUGUAUAAUAAAUAUUUUAAUAAGUAGUA
RNA transcript from Bombus pascuorum, 3309 nucleotides. It is a transcript of the gene named charged multivesicular body protein 1b, with no coding region annotated. Lineage: Eukaryota; Metazoa; Arthropoda; Insecta; Hymenoptera; Apidae. The record is from RefSeq and is a predicted model, not a curated record. The transcript has 5 exons.